GUCGACGAAAGCUGGUCGGCAGUCUACCUUGGGGUAUACCCACGGUAGUAGUUUAUCGGUAGACGGUGCGCAAACUACGAACUCGAUGGUGACGCAAGACACGGACAAGCUUUUUAUCCAGGUUCGGCCGCCGAGUUGGCGUAAUACCUACGUCCUGCGUCUGGUUGUAUUGAUUUGUGUUGAGAGAAUAUGAUGUGAUGUAGGGGGGUCCCUUGCCCCUCCUUAUAUAGUCUGGAGGGCAGGGUUACAGAUCUGGAAACUAAUCCUAGUCGGUUACAAUUGCCAUGGAUAAUUCGAUAUCAAUUCCUAUUCUAACCGACUAGAAUCCUGCUUGAUCUCCACGUCUUGUUUCCUUGCGCGAAACUCCAGGUUGUCGGAUCAAGCCUUGAACUCGUCUCGUAAUGGGCCAAGCCUCCUGGCCCAAGUCUAGCCGUAAGGGUAUAGGGGUUUAUACCCCCACAGCUAGUCCCCGAGCACCAUGUAUUGUGAUGUAACACGCCGUCUUGAGCUUCUUCGAUCAGUGAGGCUUGACGUCUUCAGGAAAGUUGCCCGAACAGUUGCAACGGUAUUUUGACCAACUCAAAAGACAGUUGAUCAACAUUGACAUCGAAGAAGCAGGUUGUUCGAAGAAUGCAUGGUGCUCUAAAUUAAAAAAGAUUUCUUUCCUGGUGAAGUGUGCCCACUUUACUUUUUUGAAAGGUAUAAACACCAAAAAAAACAAGCAUAUUCACCGCAAGGUGAAGUGUGCCCACUUAGUCCCCGAGCCUGGUAGUAGGUGACGUAGGCACGUGGUACCAGGGUCAAAAUAAAAGUCCUCAAAGAAAUUCUGUAGCUGAGAUGCAUCGCCAGAUGCAUCGUACCGAUGUAGUCCCCGAGCUUGCUGGAAGGCGAAGUAUGAGCCUUGUAGCAAGGUCUAAAAAAUUGAAUUUACCAGUCCCCGAGCAUAUCAUGCUCGUCUGCAACUGAAAAGACCAAUCGACCAGUUCCCAAGCACUUAGCGUGCUUCUUGGAAUUAUAUGUUGCUAUACUGUACGACCAGUCCCCGAGCGUCGAGCACUCAACGGUCGGUGCAUGCUUUAAAGCUUUGAGCUCAUAGAAUGAGCGACCAGUCCCCGAGCGUCGAGUGCUCGGUGGUCGGUGCAGUCAUUGAAGUUCCGAGCUAAUAGACUGGGCGACCAGUCCCCGAGCGUCGAGUGCUCGGUGACCGGUAUAGUCCUUGAAGUUCUGAGUUGGUAGACUGGGCGACCAGUCCCCGAGCGUCGAGUGCUCAGUGGUCGGUGCAGUCCUUCAAGUUCUGAGUUGGUAGACUGGGCGACCAGUCCCCGAGCGUCGAGUGCUCGGUGGUCGGUGCAGUCCCCGGGUUGUUGACUCACUGGCGUAUAUGUCUUCUUACUUUUGAAAAGAUCUUUCCAAUUAAAAUUAUCGUGACGAGGUCUCCUGACAAUAUGUCAGAUGGACGCAUGAAAAGUUGCGCCUGGCAACUGUACCACCGCUCUUUGCAUGGUUUGAGAAAAGGAAACCAUCAAUUGGUACGAAAACUCCGCCGCAUUAAUUAUCUAUAAUCAUUGUAAACCGAAACGCCGCGUCCGCCGCAUGGCCUGCCCACUUCCCGAGAAUACAGGAAGUGGGAGAGGUGGGGUCGCGGGUUUAUAAGGGCCUAACAGGACCGCCUGUACCGCUUCGCCUGCCAUUGCCUUCAAACCUUCCGCUCUCAUCUUCUCCAAUCUCCUGCAUCUUCCUAACUCCAGUCCACACUCGCACCUCUAAUGGCGAAGACCGACUCCAGGAAGAGGGCCGACCUGAUGGCCAAGGAGUGGAAGAAGUCCCGCAGCACCACAAAAUCUCUUGGUGACCUCGUCGAUAUGGGUCUUCUGCACGGCGCAGAGCUCGGCGGCUGGAGGGCGCCGGAGGGGGAGAGCUACCCCGACCCUCGCGCCGGUGAGAUCGUCGUUUUUGAGGAUUUCGUUAAGAGAGGCUUUGGUGUUCCUAUUCAUCCUUUUCUUCAAGGUCUUCUUUUGUACUAUGAGAUCGGGAUUUGCAAUCUGCACCCGAACUCAAUUCUCCUUAUUUCCACCUUCAUCCAUCUGUGCGAGGCCUAUGUUGGCAUAGAGCCGCACUUCGAUCUUUUCCGGUACCUUUUCUGCUUGAGGAAGAAGGGAGCAGUUGGAGGCUCCAAGGUUGCAGGUGGAGUAUACCUCAACCUUCGCGAUGGGAUGAAGAACCGCUACCUGCACUGCCCAUGGAACACUUCCUUGACCGAAUGGUACAGGAAGUGGUUCUACGUCAGGGAGGAACCGGGCAGCUCCACGUUCUGCGACGUGGGGUACAUUCCCGAGAAGAGGACGAGCUGGACCGACCGCCCAGAGUUCGACGGUCAAGUGGCGGAUCUGAUGAAGCUGAUCGACUGGUCGCGCCUGGAUGGGCUUGGCGUGGUCGGCAACUUCAUUUGCCGCCGGGUGAUGCCCUGCCAGAAGAGGGUGCACUCGGCGUAUGAGUAUGCCGGAAGCGCAGACCCGACCAGGAUGCGGUCGGAGAUCUUGGAGAAAGCGGAGGUACAACAGCUGUUGAACGAGCUGUUUAACUUCGCGGAUGGGGGCUUCAUCCGUGGCAGUGAUCGGGUGCAAGCCUUCAAGUUAGGACGACCAGCGCCAAGGGUAUGUAGCAGAGCCUGUUUGAUCAUUCGUAUAUCGUCUGCAGUUAACUCAUCUCUGUUGCUUUUGCAGGUCGGUGAUGUCGACCGGUGCACAGUGUAUGUAUCACUGGCACCGGGGAUGGAAAAUCCUGCGGGAGAAGGCCCGCCAGAGGAGGACGCUGCUCGGUGUACUCAUUAUACCAGCAGUGAGGAAGACCAAGCCCGCCCCGUCCCGACCUCCGAGGAGAGGGUAGCGGGGAAAAGGCCAUUGCCGGCAGAUCCCUUGCCGACGCCGAAUCUGCCGGCGGAUAGCAGCCAAGCACCGAAGCGUCGUCGGCUCGUGCGGAUCGUCGACGACGACGACGACGAGGAGGCUGCGCCGUCGUUGGUCCGACGGCCUCGGAGCCGCCCAGACACUGCGCCGGUCGCCCCUGAUCGAGUGGCCAGCGGCGCCGCUGCCCCACAAGCUGUCGAGACGGGGGCACAGGUGCCGACCGGUCGGGCGAGGAGGAGGUUCACCGCGACCCACCGUCGGUCAGACCUGUAAGUGUUCGACUUACGUUUUUUUUUUUUUUAACUUCAGUUCCUGUAGUGCGGCAUCGGAUGUCGACCCUGGCCAAACUGUCGGCCAGGGAACGGGCGAGCCUGCCCGCGGUUCUGGGGAUGCAGCCCCCCAGACCACAGAGCAGCCAACAGCUGCAGUCGCGCCUGGGAGCACCGAGGGGCUCCCGAGUGCGGCGCCGACAACAAGCAGCCCGACCAGGGCUGGAGAGGCUCCCCCAACUGACUCCUCGGAGAAGGGGAGAUCUCCGACCGCUCCUCCUGCCGGGGGGAGUGAAGUCCCCCCGCCGCCCCGAACAGGAGCCUCUUCGGCUGCAGGCUCCCCAGGUCUGGUCCAAGGGCCAGUAAUGCCUGGGACCACCACCGGGGGUGACGCAGCACAGGAGGAAGAAGCCCGGGCGGCCUCCGACGACGAGGUGGAGGAGAUCGAGGGUCGUCCCCGUGAUGGCCGCCAACACGUGUAUGUGUGGCGCCAACGCGGGGAUCACUUUAUCGGUCAUGAGGAGGUCGCCGAGACCGAAGAGGCCGCCAGGGUGGAGCGCGCGGCCAAGCGUCUUGUCGACGAAGUCAAGGUAAGCGGCUUUUUGUACUGCUGCGCAUUCUUUUUUUUUUUUUUUUUGCCUUGUCCUGCUUGAUCGUUGUAUGUCUGCUUUGUAGGACGUAAUGAAAACGGCGAAGUACCGGAAACGGUGCUUUGACCAGAUAGAAAACGUCAUGGCCGAGAACAAGGCCCUUGCCGCGGAGGUAGACCGGUUGCGGGCGGAGGUCGGGGAGAAGGUGGUCGAGAUGAGCGCCGAAAAGGAGCGUCGUCUCGACCUCUCUCGUCGUCUGGCCGACCAGUACCGGCUGCAGGAAGGUUAGUCACACGCUCCGAGCAGUUGCGCGUACUUGUAUAGUUUGCUUUGCUGACCAGUUCGGAUUCACGCAGACUUGGAGGAAGAGGUGGCGAGCCUCCAACAAGAGAAGGAGCAGCUCGGCCAACAGCUCGCCAGUGCACAGGAGUCCGGGCGGCGAGCGGAAGAGGAAUUGGGUCGAAGAGACCGAGAGUUAGCUGGUAAUGGGUACCGCCUUGUUGGUUGCUGCCUGCCCCUUUGCUUGUCUGAUAUGCCGAAAGUAACGUUUCGUUUUGUUUGCAGUGCUCAAGGUGAACACCAAAAAGCACCUGGAUGACCUGGUCAAGGACCGGGACUCCUGGAAGGUAAACUGUUGCAGGAUCUGGAAGGGAGUGUCCCCGGUCCUGGACCUGAUCAGUCCCGAGCUCCCGGAGAGCCAGCCCCGCGCGCCGCGGUUGACCCCGGUCGAGAAGGCGCAACGGGCGUGGGACUGGCUCCAGCAGUUCGUGAAGGACGCCGGGGAGUUUGCCGGCGCGCACGUCCUCAGCAUGGUGCGCGCCCACUACCCCCUGGUCGACUUGAGCAGGCUGGAGAAGGGGUACCCGAAGGAGGUCGGCCCGCAGGACGCGGACGAGCUUCGGGGUAGUCUGCUGGACUUGUCGUCGACGGUGAUCGGCGACAUCAAUCUGUGCGGAACGGCCACUCCUCCAGACCAGCCGAGCUCAGAUAGGUCGGCCAGGGAGUUGUCAGGCGCGUCCUUUGCUGGAGAUGGGCGGUCGACGCCUGCGGUCUCGACCAGCCAGGCGCCGGUGGCCCCGACCCCUUCGUCCGGGCAGCAGGGCCAGGCGGGUGAUCAGCCCGAGCAGCUAGGCCAAUAGAGUAGUCUGUAGGAAUAGACUAGUGUCUGCCCGUCAGGGUAUUUAUUGUAAACUUUGUAUGUAAAGUUUGUAAUAAACUUUGCUUUUUGUCAUGACCGUUGUUUUGAGCGCUGUAAGAAUAUCUGAGUGACGUGUCACCGUAUUUGUCUUGGUUGUUGCUAAGAGCAUCCAUUGCGGGAGUUUUGCCGAGUGCUGUAUGUGGCAAGGUAUAGGCAAAAAAUAGAGAAUUUCAUUAUCAAAAAUUAUAAGGUACUUACAAAAGAAAGUCGUUAAAACUUUAUGGAUAGAAACGUCGCAGUUUGUCGAUGUGCCAAGAGUUAGGCACUCGUGUUCCGUCUGGGUAUGCCAAUCUGUAGGACGUAGGUCGUGUGACCUCGGUCACCACGAAGGGUCCUUCCCAGGGAGUGGAUAACUUGUGCAUUCCCUCCUGGCUUGUUUUCCAUCGAAGCACCAGAUCGCCGACCACGAAGGAACGGUCCUUGACGUUCCUGUUGUAGUAUCGCCUGACUGCCGCGAGAUAUUUUGCUGUUCGGAGACAUGAAACUAAACGCUUUUCCUCCGUGCAAUUGAUUUCGAGUUCUCUGGCGUUGUCGGCAGUCGGCUCGUCGUAGUGCUCGAUUCUAGGAGAUCCGAAGUGUAUGUCGGACGGCAGGACCGCCUCUGCACCGUAUACCAUGAAGUAGGGAGACGCCCCUGUGUUUCGACUGGUCUGGGUUCGGAGGCCCCAGACUACUGCCGGCAAUUCUCUCAUCCAUCGACCAGGUGCUCUGUCGUUUUCGGUGUACAGCCUCUUCUUUAAGGCGUCAACGAUCAUUCCAUUAGCACGUUCGACUUGACCGUUGGCACGUGGAUGUGCUACUGACACAUAUUUUAUGACUAUGCCUCUGUCAUCGCAGAAAUCCCAAAAAGUGGUGCCAGUAAACUGAGUCCCCAGGUCGGUGAUUAUGCUGUUCGGGAUGCCGAAUCUGUGUAUGAUUUGAUUGAGAAAUUCCACGGCCUUCUCGGAGGUUGCCUUGACCAGGGGCAUGUAUUCGAUCCACUUGGAGAACUUGUCGAUUAGCACGAAGACAAACUUAAAAUUGCCUGGGGCUGGUUUAAAUGGUCCGAUCAUGUCAAGCCCCCAGCAAGCAAAGGGCCAAGACGACGGGAUAGUUUGAAUUUCAUGGGCAGGUACGUGGGUCCUCUUAGCGAAAAACUGACAUCCUUCGCAAUGGCGGACCAGUUUUUCUGCGUCGCCGACCGCGGUUGGCCAAUAAAAACCUGCUCGGAAAGCCUUUCCGACCAGCGUUCUAGAUGCGGCGUGAUUGCCGCAGGAUCCAGCGUGUAUGUCUUCCAAGAGCUUGAUACCAUCAUCUUGGGGUAUGCACUUGAGCAGUACUUCGGAGCUUGCGUUUUUCCGCAUGAGUUUUCCGUCGACCAGGAUGUAGUUCUUUGAUCGUCGGAUGAGGCGCUCGUUCUCUGUUUUGUCCUGAUAGCCUGUCCCGUCUGAUAUGUAUUUGAUGAACGGGGUACGCCAGUCACGCCCACCGGUUGUCGGAGUGGCGUCAUCUAUGAGCAUGGCCUCGGUGGGUUGCUUGUCGACCAGGGGAGGGCUUACGCUUGGCUCAUGGAUGUCCUGGACAAAAAUACCCCGCGGGAUCUGGGCCCGAGAUGAGCCUAACUUUGACAACGCAUCUGCUGCUUGGUUCUUAUCCCGGACCACGUGGAUGUACUCUAUGCCAUAGAAGUUAGUUUCCCAUUUGCGAAUUUCCUUGCAGUAAAGAUCCAUCUUUUCGUGGGUUGCGUCCCACUCCUUGUUGAGCUGGUUGAUGACCAAAGCGGAGUCGCCGUAGACAUAGAGGCGCUUGACCCCCAGUUCAACGGCUAGUCGUAUGCCGUGUAAGCAUGCUUCGUAUUCGGCGACGUUGUUUGACGCCGGGAAAAGGAUCCUAAGGACGUAGCGGAGUUUGUCCUUGUUGGGUGAUACGAACAGUAUCCCAGCGCCUGCACCGUUGAUGUUCAAGGACCCAUCAAAGAACAUUGACCAGUGGUCUGAGACAUCGGGAACGGAAGGCUCGUUGAGAUCCGUCCAUUCGGCAAUGAAAUCGACCAGGGCUUGGGACUUGACAGUGGUGCGACUCUGGAACUCCAGGGAAAAUGGACAUAAUUCCAUUGCCCAUUUCACGAUUCUGCCAUUGGCGUCUUUAUUGCGCAGGAUGUCCCCGAGAGGAAAGCUGGUUGUCACCAGGACUCGAUGGCCGUCGAAGUAGUGCUUCAGUUUUCUUGACGUUAUCAGGAUGGCGUAUAUAAGCUUCUGUAUUUGUGGGUACCUGGCCUUGGAUUCGUUUAAAACUUCGCUUAUGAAGUAAACGGGUCUCUGGACCUUGAAGGCGUGACCUGGUUCAUCUCGCUCGACCACUAUUGCUGUGGAAACAACCCUGUCGGUCGUAGCAAUGUAAAGAAGUAGGUCUUCAUUGGGCUGAGGCGCUGUGAGGACAGGCGGUGAAGUGAGGAAGGUCUUAAGCUGAGUGAACGCAGUGUCGGCUUCCUCGGUCCAGGAGAAUUUUUCUGACGCUUUCAAUAGUUUGAAGAAAGGGAGGCCUUUUUCUCCCAGCCUUGAGAUGAAACGACUGAGGGCGGCCAUGCAUCCGGUUAGCUUCUGAAUAUCCUUGACGUUCUUCGGUGGUCGCAUGUCGAGUACGGCUUUGACUUUUGAAGGGUUUGGUCGUAUGCCGUCGCGACUGACGACGUUCCCGAGCAGUAGACCGGAAGGAACGCCGAAAAUGCAUUUCUUGGGGUUAAGCUUCCACUUGUACUUAUUGAGUGCCUUGAAGGUUCGGUCUAAGUUGUCGAUUAGGGUGCUCGCGUCCCUUGUUUUUACGACCACGUCGUCCACAUAGGCCUCGACGAGGUCAUCGCGAAUCUCGUCGUGGAGGCAUUGCUGGAUGGCCCUUUGAUAAGUGGCUCCGGCGUUUUUAAGUCCGAAAGACAUGGUGGUGUAACAGUAUGCGCCGAAGGGUGUGAUGAAGGAUGUUUUGAUCUGAUCUUCUUCUUUUAACGAGAUCUGGUGAUAACCAGAGUAGCAAUCUAGAAAGGAGAGGAGUUCGCAUCCGGCCGUUGAGUCGACCACCUCGUCGAUGCGAGGAAGACCAAAAGGAUCUUUAGGACAGUGUUUGUUGAGAUCGGUGUAAUCAACGCACAUUCUCCAUUCAUUAUUCUUUUUGCGUACAAGAACCGGAUUGGCGAGCCAAUCGGGAUGAUACACCUCUUUUAUGAAUCCGGCUGCUAGAAGCCGUGUUAUUUCUGUCCUAAUAGCCUCCUUUUUGUCACGAGCGAACCGUCGCAGUUUUUGCUUGAUUGGUCUUGCGGUCUUCGAGACGUUUAAGGAGUGCUCGAUCAGGUUUCGUGGGACACCGGGCAUGUCUGCGGGUUUCCAUGCGAAAACGCUCACGUUGUCCCUUAGAAACCUGACGAGCGCGUCUUCCUAUUUUGGAUCCAGGUUAGCCCCAAUGAGGGCUGUCUUCUCGGGGUUGCCUUCGACCAGCUGCACUUCUUUGUACUCCUUGGAUUUCGAAUUCUUUCUGGCUGUCUCCUGCUCAGGUAGUCGGAGCUGGUCGGGAGGCAGCUGUGCGGCUUGGUUUGCUGUUUCCGCCAUGCGGAUUGAGAGGUCGAUUGCCUCGGUGAUCUUGAAGCUUUCUUCUUCGCAGGUACGCGGUGUAGACGUUGCCUCUGACGGUUAGGACACCCUUCUCCGUGGGCAUCUUAAGGACUAGGUAUGAGUAGUGCGGGACUGCCAUGAACUUUGUCAGCGAUGGUCGGCCUAGUAUGGCGUGAUAGGUCCCGUCGAAGUCCGCGACUACGAAGUUGAUGAACUCCGUCCGGAAGUGGUCGGGUGUGCUGAAUUGGACAGGCAAUGUUAUCUGUCCGAGAGGCACCGAACUUUGACCUGGCAAAACCCCCCAGAAUUGGGCGUCGUAAGGUUUUAGUUGUGCCGGUGAUAUCUUGAGGGCGGGCAAGCUGUUGCGGAAAAGGAUGUCGAUGGAGCUUCCCCCGUCCACGAGCACGCGCUCGAAUCUGAUGCUGUUGAUGCAGGGAUCAAGAAUCAGGGGGAAACGACCCGGCUCUGGGAUAGCGGCCCACUGGUCCAUCCUGCUGAACGAGAUCUCCCUGUGGGACCACGCGGGGAAUUUCGGAUCUGCGAUCAGCCCGUCCGUGCUGUCUAUGUUGAGGCAGGCUCUCUUUAACAGCUUUCUUUCUCGCUUGGACUCAGUAGAGACCUUGCCUCCGAAAAUGGAGUGGACCACGUCAGUGGGGCUGACGUAUUGGUGUCGGGGGUCCCUAUCUUGGUCCUCGUCCUCAUCUUCGUGGCCAUGCCCGUCGCGCUUGUUAUUUUUCUUGGCGGAGUCUUCUUGGGCGGCCCGCCGUGUGUAGAUACUUUUGAGGACGCGGCACUCUUCCAUGGUGUGGUUAGACUUUGGGUGUAGCUGGCACGGUCCCUUCAACGUUUUGUUGUAGUCGUCUUGGUAGUCCCGUCGUCCAUUGGGACGUUUGACCGUGUUUACUUCGUGGUCGUAUUCGCGAGGGCGCUUUCCUCUGAAGUCGUCGCGGCUGUCGCGCCGCCGAUCCCAACCCUCUCGGUGAUCGCGGUUGUCGGAGCGGCGGUGAUUUCUGUUGUCGUAGCGACCACGACCGUCAUCUCGCCGGGAGGGCUGGUCGGUGCCUCUCGCAUCGUCUCGGAUUAGUUUUUCUGCGUCAUCAGCAUCGGCGUAAUUUUUAGCCGUGGCGAGGAGCUCUGCUACCGUUGAUGGGCGCUUACGCAACAGCUUGUUCCUCAGCGCUUCAUGGAAACGCAAACCCUUGAUAAAGGCUGAUAUGGCCUCGUCGUGAGAAAUCUUCGGGAUUUUGAGGCGCAUAUCCGAGAAUCGUCGGAUGUAAUCACGCAGAGGUUCAUUCUUCCUGUCUCUUAUCCUUUCGAGGUCAUACUUGUUUCCGGGCUGCUCGCAUGUGGCGAUGAAGUUGUCGAUGAAAGCCUGUCGUAGCUCUUCCCAAGAGUCGAAGGAGUCCUCGGGCAAGCCGAGAAGCCACUGAUGACCAGCCUGGUCGAGGACUACGGGGAAGUAAUUAGCCAUGACGUGCUCAUCUCCUGCCGCUGAUCGGACGGCGAUUUCAUAGAGAGUGAUCCAGUUCUCUGGAUUUUCCUUGCUGUCGUAUUUUUUGAGUUUUUCGAGCUUGAAAUUGCGGGGCCACACGACCUGGCGGAGGUGUGAGGAGAACUGCCUUAGGCCCGGAGGACCGUGGGUCGCGUCGUACUCGAUGCGGCGUAGGUUUUCGUGGACUGCUCUCUCUGCGGCGCGCCUGUUGAUGCGAUCCCGGGCAUCUUUGGGAGGGAUGUUGUGGCGGAGAUCCCUGUGUUGAUCUUCUUUUUCUUGGCCGCGUACGCGGUCCUGCUGGCGGCGGCCAUCGGCGUCCCGACCACCAUCAUCGCGCCGUGAGUCCCCUCGAUGGUUGUCGGGGGAGCGGCUGCGGCGACGCCUGCUGGGUGAGGCCCGGCUACGAUGAGUCUGGUCGGAGGCGGCUUCCGUAUAAGAGACGUCCUGGACUCUCUUGAGCAGAGUGGCUGUUUGUCCCAUUGCGGCGAUCAGGUGUGCUCGGAUACUGGUCCGAACUCCCUGGCAUUCGGGGGUGUCAGGAAGCCGAUCCAGGUCGGCCAUGGCGACAGCCACGUUGGCGCUUGGCGUUUUGUAGACCGGCUGGUCCCCAACCAUGUCAAAGGCAUCGUUGAGGUUACCUGGUGGCGUCUGUUGUUGCUCGUCCGCACGCCGUCGGGCGCGCUCGGCGUUACGCUGUUCGCGGAGUUGCCUCUGGUCGUCUGUUUCUCCGUCAACAGCCAGUUCGUCGGCGCUGACAUUGAAUACAAUAUCCCCUCGCCGGGGGGGGGAAUAUCGGGAAUCGGUCGAAACCCGGAGGGUGUGAGGGAAAAUCCAAGUCGUAGUCCUCGUCUUCGGUGUUCAUAACCUCGGUGGGGACGGAGCCGGUGCUUGAGUUGGUGCUGGAAACCUGGCCGUCCCGUAGCUCUCGGAUGGUCACCAUGUUGACAUGGUGACGAUUGUUCCUUGUCGGCGACCAGCCCGCUUUGCCGAAAACGGAUUGGACAUGCUGUGAGUAAACAGAGGCUGAGUUGUUCAGGCCGCAGGGAUAGUCUUCCUUUUUGAGCUCGACGGAUCGUCCUGAAGGGGUUGAGGUUAUCGUCAGGGACGUUCCCAGCCGUUCGUGUGUGGCGACACGAGUUGGCCGGCGGAAUUUCGAAAAAUCCGCUCGAGCAGCUUGGUCGGUCCGGCGCAGGACUCCAUCUAUUAGUUGGGAGACUUCGAAUAGCUUGGAGUCAGCGCGAUCGAGCGCUUGGAGGAGGUCCGAGCAGUCGAUCUCCUUUCCCUUGUAGAGCGGGAACGGUGGUCGGGAGCUUGGUGCCGUCAUGCGUGUGGUCGGAGACGGCGUGAUCUCAGAUUGGAUCUGGAUCUCUUUCGGAACCGUGGUCGCGAAACCGCCGCUGCACGUCGUCCACGUGAUCUGGCCGACGGUGAACGUGAGGCCUUCGGGCACGGUCGCGAAAGCUGGGAUCGUGACCAUCUUGUUCGCCGGAAAAGUUGCACGCACACCCCCUACCUGGCGCGCCACUGUCGACGAAAGCUGGUCGGCAGUCUACCUUGGGGUAUACCCACGGUAGUAGUUUAUCGGUAGACGGUGCGCAAACUACGAACUCGAUGGUGACGCAAGACACGGACAAGCUUUUUAUCCAGGUUCGGCCGCCGAGUUGGCGUAAUACCUACGUCCUGCGUCUGGUUGUAUUGAUUUGUGUUGAGAGAAUAUGAUGUGAUGUAGGGGGGUCCCUUGCCCCUCCUUAUAUAGUCUGGAGGGCAGGGUUACAGAUCUGGAAACUAAUCCUAGUCGGUUACAAUUGCCAUGGAUAAUUCGAUAUCAAUUCCUAUUCUAACCGACUAGAAUCCUGCUUGAUCUCCACGUCUUGUUUCCUUGCGCGAAACUCCAGGUUGUCGGAUCAAGCCUUGAACUCGUCUCGUAAUGGGCCAAGCCUCCUGGCCCAAGUCUAGCCGUAAGG
Molecule: long non-coding RNA, 11997 nt
Filed under: Sorghum bicolor (sorghum)
Lineage: Eukaryota; Viridiplantae; Streptophyta; Magnoliopsida; Poales; Poaceae
Description: long non-coding RNA (SBIC_LNC005473)
Source: RNAcentral